AACGCACGAGACCUGCGGACCUGCGGAAGGAUCAUUACAGAGUGUAAAAACUCCUUAAACCCACUGUUUACCUAUCAGAAAACCGUUUCCUUCGGUGGGCGGCCCCAGGGCGGGGCCGAUGCCUUGCGCUCCGGCGCGGGCGCCCGCCGGAGAAGACACCAAAACUCGUAUUGUUAGUAACCACUCUGAGCCUAAAGACAAAUAGUCAAAACUUUCAGCAAUGGAUCUCUAGAUCGGAAG
RNAcentral lists this unclassified non-coding RNA (240 nucleotides) under soil metagenome. RNAcentral describes it as "partial contains 5.8S ribosomal RNA, internal transcribed spacer 2, and large subunit ribosomal RNA". The record is from RNAcentral.